UUGAAUGGAAUGCACUAGAAAGUGGCUUUUCAAUUGUUUGUAAAUUUUCCAGAGCAAAUUUUGUUUGUUCAUCUCUUACUUUCUCUCUCUAUUUUUGGGCUUGCUCUUCCGCGUUUCCUCUUCUAUUCUAAAAAAAUAGGAAUGUAAUGGUUGGCCACUUCGGAUUUCGCAGGAUUUUGAAGCUUAAAUUUGCUCGAAGAAAGUAGGAAAAAACAGGAAAUAAUCUGACUGAUAGAGGUGGACACACAAAUUCUGAAUAUGAGGAUUAAGACAUGCACAAAAGACAAAAAGCUUGGCAAGAAGUGUCUUGAAGAGGUCAUGAAAGAGUUUCAUCUUGCAAGAGCAUACUUCUUGCAAUACUUAUGUUCAACUGCCAAUCUCAUGCAGAUGUUGGAGCACCUAUAAUCUUUCUACUUGUGUCUUUCUAGCAAGCUACCUAUGUAACUUUGUUCCACAAACUAUGUCUCUAUUUUGCCUUUCCUACACACUACUCGUGUAACUUUGUUCCAGAAAUGAAUGUAAUAUAGUAUGAAGCAUAUCAUGUUAA
Long non-coding RNA from Lycium barbarum (goji berry), 547 nucleotides. RefSeq lists it as uncharacterized. The transcript has 4 exons. Lineage: Eukaryota; Viridiplantae; Streptophyta; Magnoliopsida; Solanales; Solanaceae. The record is from RefSeq and is a predicted model, not a curated record.